AUGGGUUUUUGACAGAUUCAAGCAGGUAAAAUAGCACCGAGGCUCUGCGAAAGCGCGGUCACACCUGCCGAGGUGGCACAAUUGCAAAAACGCGGCAUAAAUUAAAAACAGGUUUUGAGAAUGCUUUUUCAUGGGCAAGAACCUUAGGCAUCAUAGUUAAAAGCCUCGGCUCCUUGAGAAGGAGGCUGCUUGCUCCUUCCUUGACUUGUGUUUCUAGACCAAGAAAAAUUAAACAUCAUCUCCUGCCUUUUUCUUGGCCUUGCUGCUCACUAAUGGACUGGGAGAGACAGCACUUACAAGUCAGAGCAGCACUCAAGAGUCCAACCCGCAAAGGAGGAUGCCUCCUGACAAUGACACCUCUCUCGAGGCCCCGGCAUUCUCUGUGUUGAGAUCACAAUCCUGGGCCAGCAUUGUGUAGAAUGACCGCCGAGGACGCUGAAGUCUGCCCCACGGUUUUAUAGAGGAAGGGACUCUAAAGGAGGGAAACCAAGGACCAGCUACUCAAAGUCCCAGGAUGGCCACUUGUUUGAUUUUACUCCUUCCGGGAGUCAGACGGCAUUAUCUUGCAGCCAUCCGGCACACUGCAUUCAACAGGGAUACAGAUCACCAGACACAAUCAGGAGAAACUAAGGCAAGAUUCUAUGCAAGAUUCUAUGCAAGAGAAAACCUGCUGGCAGGGGACAAGCUAUUCGCCAAACAGCUCGACGCUACCAACCAACCCCAGGAAGUUAUCCAUUCUUCCUGGGAAAGUCUACAAAUAGGACCUCAGCCGGUUCUGGAGCUGGGUUAGGAAUGGUGGUGUAUAAGCCACGGAUUGGUUAGAGCCUUGGCUCCAGCGUGGGGAGCAGCACCUUCUUACUGCCAUGCCAGCACCAUUCUGGAUGCAAGUUCAGGGUUAACAUAACUUAUUUCUCCCUGCUGUAUCCUGACGGGUGUGUGAUUACAGUGUUACUCUUUUGACUGCUUUCAAGGUAACCUUUUCUGCCCUUUCUGUGUAUUCAAGACAGUUGGCAAGUGGUGAGGUGAUGCUUUGUAGUCGCCCUUGAGGAGGGCGGGAGAGUGGAAGGGAGGGACAGAAGACAUUUAAAGAAAGAGCAGUUCACUGUGCUCCUUCCAAACACCCUACUGUUGAACCCCCCCCCACACACACACACACUUACCUUUACCAACAUUCUGCUUCUCCCCUGGAGCUAGCUCUGCACUGGGAACUUGGUGGUAGUAGCCCUGCCAAUCCACCCCUUGGAAGACCCUGGCAGGACUGGUCAGUGUUUCCCAUUCACAAACCCUCAGCCCUCCUCAGGGAAGCCUUCCACUUUGUAGAAAGCCUCAGUGUCAUAAAGCCAGUACCUAGAACGCACAAUCUAAUUUUCAUGAUCAAAGGCCAUUUUGCAUAGAGGAGUGUACCUCACACCUUUGCUAAGGCUGACAUUUACCCAGAGCCAUUCUGCCUGGCUUGGUGGCAGCCUCCUUUUGCUGAGUGGCAGCAGCAGGAGUCAGGAAGAAAAAAAGAAAAACCUUGUGCUAGGGCGACCGCAGCCAGGAUUUGCUAAUAGAGACAAUACCUUGCCCCAGAGGCUGUUUCCAGCUGCAGCCUGAAGCACACACGUUGAGAAUGUACCACACGGAACUGUCAGUCAGUACUGGAGCCAGAAAAUUGUUGUUUCAAAUGUUACAGUACAGGAAAAUCGCCUCUCUGCACUUGCUGCCAAAAAAAUGACAGCUUAAUUUAUGCCACACCGAAGCUACAUUACAGAGCCAUUCAGCUUGGCAGUUAAGUACGCUCCAUGCUCACAUCUUCCCCCUGCGCAAGUGUACUGGGGGGAAGUACACAGUGGCUAUAAUAAGGACAAUUGGCUGCAGGGUUUGCCGUGUCAGUGGAACUAAAUGCAGGUGAAACAGUAUCAGCAAUAAAAUACAUCACCCCUACCUCAUUUGCAAAACCCACUGCUGCUCUGUACUUGCAAAUCCCCAGGAAGACUCACUGCAACAUUGUUAUGCACGGGAUAGAUUAGGGAGUGAAGUGCUGGUGUCAACCCCUGGGGUUUUAUGGAGAGGGGAGGUGCCACAGUAUUACGGGUGACUUUGAAAAUUAUGUCAGUAUCCUUGAUACAGACCUUCAGAACUUGGCUGUGUUUGCCCUUCCUGAAAUGAAAAACCUGGCAGCAUUAUACUGUAGCCAAGAACAACCUGUGUAUCGUGAAUGAUACAGUAGUCUGUCUAAAAAAAAUUGAGUAAUUGUCAUCAAAGUUUCAUUCCACACCUAUUUCCAUUAAUUUUCACACACACACACACACACACACACUUAUAUGAAUAUAAACAAUACAUUCUCUAAAAGUUGGAGAUUAACUGGGGGUGCUCUUUUCUUCAUGUUCUCAGCUGUGACAACUCCGUUUUAACACCUAAAUUCUAACAGCCCCAAAGCCCAAUUCAUACUCGAAUUUCAAAGGACAUCCCAGAGUCUCCUGCACACACACACACAUACUUAAUGUGAAGGAGGCCACCUUUAAGAGCCUCUUUCAUGAACACCCUCUUAUGCGGAAUGGCCACAGAGAACUGAACAUUACUAACUGAGCCCCAGCGUAUUUGCCAAGAAGAGAUUUAUGAGUAAUUUACAAAAUCUUUGUAAGGCAGUCCUUGUAAAAUAUCACAGCCCCGAGGAAGCAGGCGGGCUAUGGCUGGCUUCUCGCACUCAGCAAGCCAUUCAUAGCAGAGCGAGCAGCUCUCAGAGGAGAGCAAAUGCAUUUGCAAUGACUGCUGUUGUGCUGUAAAUCACCCUCAAUAAAACAAUGGGCAGAAAUAAAUGAUACAUAUCUGUUUAAUAAUCCAUUACCCCCAAAUAAAUACUCCACCUCAAAAUAAAGCAAACGUGCUCGCCCUGGCUGUUGACGUGGGAGAGCUGCUCUGCUAACGGUAAAGUGAUUUGUAAAGCAGGGCACUGGCAAUGAGCCUUGUGUCCUGCGUGCGCGUGAUAAAUUAAUAUCUCUCCAUAACUCACCAGUAGGGGUGCCUUAAGGUCAAAGCACCAGCAGAAACCCUCCCAAGGGCCAGUGACCACGCUCAUCCAAGCAUCUCUGCGUGGCUUUGUCGGAGCAUCGACCUAGCAUGGAUCUAUAUGUGGUGAGGUUUACACUAGGCUAUGCAAAUAAAGAGCCAAGUAGACAGAUCUCUCAGCUUGGAAGAUGGGCCACCAUGAGGCACACCAGAAUUUGUCUAGUAAGAAAAACACACACUUAUGUGUGCUUGUUUGUAGUCUUCUUAGGGGUCGGGUCCGAGGCUCUGCACAUGCUAGGCAAACUGUCUGUCACUGGACUACGUCCCCCCAACCCCCCAGCCUGUGCCUGAUGCUUUAAACAGGAGAGAAGAUAAGGACUCUGACAAGCUGACAUUUUUUCCCAAUUUACAUAGAUUUACCACACUGUUUCCCACCCAGACACCAUAAUUGGGGGUCUCUAUUCCGACAUCCCUUUCUGUUUAGCCCUUGGCUCAGCUAUGGGUUCUGAUGGUCACACCAGCCCUGUGCCGCCUGCCUGCUGGUCACACCUGCUGGCCACACCCUCUCUAUUCCGCUUGUCUGUUGGUGAGUCUCCACAGGGGACAAAACCUUGAAUAAAAUCACGAAAC
Molecule: long non-coding RNA, 3621 nt
Organism: Mesocricetus auratus (golden hamster)
Lineage: Eukaryota; Metazoa; Chordata; Mammalia; Rodentia; Cricetidae
Exons: 4
Source: RefSeq, a predicted model, not a curated record